CCCUUAGAUGUUCGGGGCCGCGCGCGCGCUACACUGAAGGAAUCAGCACGUCUUUCUCCUUGUCCGAAAGGACUGGGUAACCCGCUGAACCUCCUUCGUGCUAGGGAUUGGGGCUUGUAAUUCUUCCCCAUGAACGAGGAAUUCCCAGUAAGCGCGAGUCAUAAGCUCGCGUUGAUUACGUCCCUGCCCUUUGUACACACCGCCCGUCGCUACUACCGAUUGGAUGGUUUAGUGAGAUCCUCGGAUUGGUCCCGGCGCGGCCUCUGGUCGUGCCGGAGUGCCGAAAAGAAUGUCGAACUUGAUCAUCUAGAGGAAGUAAAAGUCGUAACA
This 330-nucleotide ribosomal RNA is filed under the name uncultured eukaryote. RNAcentral describes it as "partial 18S ribosomal RNA". It matches the Rfam family "Eukaryotic small subunit ribosomal RNA", at positions 1470 to 1796 of the family's 1831-position model. The record is from RNAcentral.